Molecule: small RNA, 172 nt
Filed under: Mycolicibacterium phlei
Lineage: Bacteria; Bacillati; Actinomycetota; Actinomycetes; Mycobacteriales; Mycobacteriaceae
Also listed under: 1 other name
Description: Mycobacterium phlei c-di-AMP sequence
Rfam family: c-di-AMP riboswitch aptamer (ydaO/yuaA leader)
About the family: This family represents a conserved RNA structure found upstream of the ydaO and yuaA genes in Bacillus subtilis and related genes in other bacteria. The ydaO/yuaA element is thought to act as a genetic "off" switch for the ydaO and yuaA genes in its native state.
Source: RNAcentral
AACCCCACGAAGACGAACAGGAUGGAGGCGGGGGACCCAACCGGUCCACCGUGCAGCAGCGGACCAGGAGCGCACGCUCCUAGGGGUGAAGCCGACGUCGACCGCGACGUGGCCGGGCAGCCUCUCCGCCCGAACCCGACAGCUGACCUCGCAGGCGCCGACGAGAGGACAC